CGAACGCUGGCGGCAGGCUUAACACAUGCAAGUCGAGCGGGCAUCCUUGUGGUGUCAGCGGCAGACGGGUGAGUAACGCGUGGGAACGUGCCCUUCGGUUCGGAAUAACUCAGGGAAACUUGAGCUAAUACCGGAUACGUGCGAGAGCAGAAAGGUUUAUCUGCCGAAGGAUCGGCCCGCGUCUGAUUAGCUAGUUGGUGAGGUUAUGGCUCACCAAGGCGACGAUCAGUAGCUGGUCUGAGAGGAUGAUCAGCCACACUGGGGCUGAGACACGGCCCAGACUCCUACGGGAGGCAGCAGUGGGGAAUAUUGGACAAUGGGGGCAACCCUGAUCCAGCCAUGCCGCGUGAGUGAUGACGGCCUUAGGGUUGUAAAGCUCUUUUCUUCGGGACGAUAAUGACGGUACCGGAGGAAUAAGCCCCGGCUAACUUCGUG
Molecule: ribosomal RNA, 435 nt
Filed under: uncultured bacterium
Lineage: Bacteria
Description: partial 16S ribosomal RNA
Rfam family: Bacterial small subunit ribosomal RNA
Source: RNAcentral